CCUACGGGAGGCAGCAGUGGGGAAUUUUGGACAAUGGACGCAAGUCUGAUCCAGCCAUUCCGCGUGCAGGACGAAGGCCUUCGGGUUGUAAACUGCUUUUGUACGGAACGAAAAAGCUCUUAUUAAUACUAGGAGUCCAUGACGGUACCGUAAGAAUAAGCACCGGCUAACUACGUGCCAGCAGCCGCGGUAAUACGUAGGGUGCAAGCGUUAAUCGGAAUUACUGGGCGUAAAGCGUGCGCAGGCGGUUAUAUAAGACAGAUGUGAAAUCCCCGAGCUUAACUUGGGAACUGCAUUUGUGACUGUAUAGCUAGAGUACGGCAGAGGGGGAUGGAAUUCCGCGUGUAGCAGUGAAAUGCGUAGAUAUGCGGAGGAACACCGAUGGCGAAGGCAAUCCCCUGGGCCUGUACUGACGCUCAUGCACGAAAGCGUGGGGAGCAAACAGGAUUAGAUACCCUGGUAGUCCACGCCCUAAACGAUGUCAACUGGUUGUUGGGUCUUCACUGACUCAGUAACGAAGCUAACGCGUGAAGUUGACCGCCUGGGGAGUACGGCCGCAAGGUUGAAACUCAAAGGAUUGACGGCCUGAGAGNGCGAGGCGACGACGAGGGAGGAGG
RNAcentral lists this ribosomal RNA (617 nucleotides) under uncultured bacterium. RNAcentral describes it as "bacterial SSU rRNA". It matches the Rfam family "Bacterial small subunit ribosomal RNA", at positions 338 to 951 of the family's 1533-position model. The record is from RNAcentral.